Molecule: ribosomal RNA, 672 nt
Filed under: Segatella copri
Lineage: Bacteria; Pseudomonadati; Bacteroidota; Bacteroidia; Bacteroidales; Prevotellaceae
Description: partial 23S ribosomal RNA
Rfam family: Bacterial large subunit ribosomal RNA
Source: RNAcentral
AAAGUAUCGGUAGGGGAGCAUACUCACAGCGUCGAAUGGUGUACGUAAGUUAUCCUGGAGCGGUGAGUAAAGCAAAUGUAGGAAUAAGUAACGAUAAGGAGGGUUAGAUUCCCUCCCGCUGUAAGACCAAGGUUUCCCGGGCAAUGCCAAUCAGCCCGGGGUCAGUCGGGUCCUAAGUCUAAGCCGAACGGCGAUGGCGAUGGCAGAGACGGUUAAUAUUCCGUCACUGCCGCAUGGGGCGACGUGGAGACGGAGCAGUGAAACCACCGCGGGGCGACGGAAGUCCCCGUUGAAGGGUGUAGGUGUUGAGGAUGGCAGGCAAAUCCACCAUCCGAGCUGAACCUGACAGUACGGAGUCCUCCUCGGAGGAAUCUGAUAGUGUGGGUAAUCAUACUCCCGAGAAAAUCCGCUAAGCUUAACCCAUGCGGCACCCGUACCGCAAACGGACACACGUGGUCGGGUAGAACAUACUAAGGCGUUGAGAGAUUCAUGGUUAAGGAACUAGGCAAAUUGACCCUGUAACUUCGGGAUAAAGGGUCCUCGUGAUGAGCGAGGCGCAGAGAAUAGGUCCAGGCAACUGUUUAACAAAAACACAGGGCUGUGCAAACUCGAAAGAUGACGUAUACAGCCUGACACCUGCCCGGUGCCGGAAGGUUAAGAGGAGAUGUCACU